CUCGUGUCGUGAGACUGUUGGGUUAAGUCCGUAACCGAGCGCAACCCUUGUCCUUAGUUACCAGCACGUUAUGGUGGGCACUCUAAGGAGACUGGCCGGUGACAAACCGGAGGAAGGUGGGAUGACGUCAAGUCAUCAUGGCCCUUACGGCCUGGGCUACACACGUGCUACAAUGGUCGGUACAAAGGGUUGCCAAGCCGCGAGGUGGAGCUAAUCCCAUAAAACCGAUCGUAGUCCGGAUCGCAGUCUGCAACUCGACUGCGUGAAGUCGGAAUCGCUAGUAAUCGUGAAUCAGAAUGUCACGGUGAAUACGUUCCCGGGCCUU
Molecule: ribosomal RNA, 325 nt
Filed under: uncultured Pseudomonas sp.
Lineage: Bacteria; Pseudomonadati; Pseudomonadota; Gammaproteobacteria; Pseudomonadales; Pseudomonadaceae
Description: bacterial SSU rRNA
Rfam family: Bacterial small subunit ribosomal RNA
Source: RNAcentral